GGACAAUUUUCUGCCUUCAGUGGGCGAUUACUUGGUUUGGCCAUGUUCUCAACGAUUACGAAACUGUCGUAAGAUUGUUUGAUGUAUUUAUGUUCUCACAUCCAUGGACCUCUAUGUAUCUAUCUGCUGUCGUCGUGUUGCAUAGAGCAAGUGAUAUUUUCUUGACACCGUGCGAGAUGCCGCUUCUACAUCAAAUGCUCUCCAACGUCCCUGAUAAUCUACCAUUAGAUAGUCUUAUAACUGAAACAGAAAAGUUGAUGCGAACCUAUCCACCAGAUGUAAUGGAAACAGUUUUCCGAGAGAUGCACGCUUUAAAUAUUCGUAAGAUAAAGGAAGAGGACGAAGAGAGGAAAAGGAGAGUGGAAC
This is a long non-coding RNA of Daphnia pulicaria, 366 nucleotides long. RefSeq lists it as uncharacterized. The record is from RefSeq and is a predicted model, not a curated record. NCBI's taxonomy places the organism in Eukaryota, Metazoa, Arthropoda, Branchiopoda, Diplostraca, Daphniidae. The transcript is spliced from 3 exons.